AAAGACUUGAGAGUCGGAGAAAAC
RNAcentral lists this small nuclear RNA (24 nucleotides) under Arabidopsis thaliana (thale cress). RNAcentral describes it as "snRNA_07582". The record is from RNAcentral. Lineage: Eukaryota; Viridiplantae; Streptophyta; Magnoliopsida; Brassicales; Brassicaceae.